RNAcentral lists this transfer RNA (72 nucleotides) under Ictidomys tridecemlineatus (thirteen-lined ground squirrel). RNAcentral's name for it is "Spermophilus tridecemlineatus (thirteen-lined ground squirrel) tRNA". It matches the Rfam family "tRNA". Rfam says of the family: Transfer RNA (tRNA) molecules are approximately 80 nucleotides in length. Their secondary structure includes four short double-helical elements and three loops (D, anti-codon, and T loops). Further hydrogen bonds mediate the characteristic L-shaped molecular structure. tRNAs have two regions of fundamental functional importance: the anti-codon, which is responsible for specific mRNA codon recognition, and the 3' end, to which the tRNAs corresponding amino acid is attached (by aminoacyl-tRNA synthetases). tRNAs cope with the degeneracy of the genetic code in two manners: having more than one tRNA (with a specific anti-codon) for a particular amino acid; and 'wobble' base-pairing, i.e. permitting non-standard base-pairing at the 3rd anti-codon position. The record is from Rfam by way of RNAcentral. Lineage: Eukaryota; Metazoa; Chordata; Mammalia; Rodentia; Sciuridae.
AGGGAUGCAGUUCAGUGGUAGAGCACUUACCUAGAAUGCAAGAGGUUCCAGGUUCAAUCCCUAGCAUCACAA